Molecule: non-coding RNA, 798 nt
Organism: Pelmatolapia mariae (spotted tilapia)
Lineage: Eukaryota; Metazoa; Chordata; Actinopteri; Cichliformes; Cichlidae
Source: the annotation of a RefSeq genome assembly
UACACUGCAGAUAUGACGCCUCUGUUCAUCUCAGUGCUGCUGGCUGCUAUGUGCCUCGAAUGCAGAGCACAAAAAGACAACGUGCUGCAAGCAAAAGGAGAAGAGACUGCUGCUGCAGGAGGCACAGUAACACUUGGCUGUCUUUAUAACAGCAGUACAACUAGUAAUAAUCUCUUCUGGUACAAACAGGAUGGAAACAACAGCCCCAAAUUCAUCCUGAGUCGUGUUAGUGGGGACCAAGGAAGCACAGCAGCCGAGUUCAAGGAGAGAUUUUCAUCCACACUGGAUUCCAGCAUCAGAUCAGUUCCUCUGAAGAUCCAGAAGCUUCAGCUGUCUGACUCUGCUGUGUACUACUGUGCUCUGCAGCCCACAGUGACAGGAAACACCAAAACUCUGUACAAAAACCUUUGGAGCAAAGACAACAGAAUACUCCACAACAUCCACUAGAGGGAGACACACACUGUUAAACCUCUGAUUCUUGUGUCAUUGGACUGAUGACAAAGACAACAGAGAAAUGAAGCAGUAAAGAUCAGAGACAGAGACAGAGCUGCUGUGGAAGCACAAAACUAUUUGAUUGGCUCAGCUAUUAAACUGGCCCCGCCCACUGAAGUUGAGCUCAUCCAAUGACAUUAUUUGUUGGUCAUUGUGCUGCAGUGGAAGAACAUUGUUCAUGUGCUGUCUGUCUGGCUUUAAUAACUCCAAAGACAUGUUGCUGCACCUCUUUUUGCUUCUAUCUCACAUUAUAGGUGAGUUUAAGAACAGGGAUUAAAGUUUAGUUGAAGCUGCUGCAUUAAGCAG